CAGCCCGUACACCGUGUACCGCUCAGGGCCGCGUGUGGGAGCGGCAGGGAGUGCUCACUCGUGUUCCGCUUUGUGAGUGAAAACAAAGGGGAAGAUGCCACUUAAAACGUGGAAUGACAGAAAUGUGAACCUGAAGAAAAUAGAUGUAUGAAAAGAACAAAUCUCAGAAUUACAGUAGUACAAAUGGAAACAAAGACAUAAAACAUCCAGGUGAGAAGAAAUCAAAAUGCCCAGCCAAGUGAGCAGAUUUAUGAGAAUACACAAACUGAAGAUAGAUGGAAGAGUUCAGCAUGAAGGUACUGUGAAAGGCCACAGCCAGGCUCAAGAAGCUUACAUGCUGUGUAGAGUUGAUUCACAUCUGACAGGAGGUCAGAGCAACACAAAGCAGCUGCAAGCACUUUCGUAGGAUGUUCUAACAGAGAGAAGCUUGUUCAGGAACGAAGCGUGUGACCCGCUCACAGAACAGGUCUACAAGUUGUCUGCCCUGCAGAGAGUCUGGGAAAUCCUGCAUUCGACAUGUGAAGGGCUGCAGUAAUUCAGACAGCUUUAAGCAGUUCCUUAAUUUAUGCUACAGUUACUUCUGUUCUAGGAAGAUCUGAAAAAAUAAAGGCCAAAAGCAGCAGAGAUGUUCUUUCUGGCUGGAAGUUAAACCAUUUCUGGCCUAUCAGAAGGCUGCUGAUGGUUUUCAAGGAGGUGAAAAGCCCACUAAGGCUUGAUUUGCACUAUUUCAAAGCUUACUGUUCCUUAAUUUAUUUUUUGGGAGACGUGGAGGUAGUAUUAUUUUACACAAUUUAUAGUGGAACUUAGAAUUAUAACAAUGCAAGUGGAAUUGGAGUAGCAAUUUCUAGAUGAUAAACAGUUUCCUGGGUGUAUUAAAAAUGUUACAAAAGCUGUUACAGUGUGUACUAUUAGCAAAUCUAGAUUCAAAUUAAAUAUGAAAAGUAGUAAAACCUGUGAGCUUGCAAUAUUUGACAAAGCAAAAGGAACAAAGCUGGGUCUUAAAUUCCUUUUCUCAUUUACAGAGAAAAUUACAGUGGCUCUGAAUUGAACAGAAGUAGCUGUAGAAACCUUUUUUUUUAAACACAGUCUGUUCAUUUUUGAGAAGCUGAGAACUGUAACUCCUUGGUUUUAAGUUCAUCUGUACACACGUUUCGUGUACAAGGCUGGAAUUUGUGAUACAUAACUUUACAUACACACAGCUGAUACCUAAACAAGUUUACCAAGUUGCUACUUCUUUGAAAUUCAACACUUAGAAGAAUAACUGUUUGUAACUUUUUCCUACUGUUUUAUUUCAAUGUAUUCACCUGUAAUUCUCCUGUAAUUAUUUUCAAGCUAUUGUUGAAAUAAGAAACUUUUGUUCUUCUGUCCUUCAAUCUUUGCCUAGUUUAUCUGAAUGAAGUAAUUUAGAAGUACAUUACACCUCCAUUUCACCUUAGGUCAGCUAAAUAUGAAUCCUGUUUUUAUUUUUAAAGUGCACUCCUAGUUGUGUGGGUUUUUAUGCCGAAUCAGACUGUGCAAGUAAAGACAUGCCUUAAUGAGCCUGAGUUAGUACAUGACAAAGAACUUCUCAAAUGACCCACUGUGGGGAACUGCAACAUUAUCUAUCAUUAAUCAAUGGCAAACAAGCUAAUUUUCUAUGCGUUGUUACAUUGCUAUUCAGUGUGUUAAACAGUUUCAUUAAAGCAACAUGAUGAACAGCUUUGCAGUAAGUAGUAGUUCCUGUUUGACUCAAAUAUAUCUAUGUCAGCCUUAGACUAGAGCUAAGUAAGAGUCCUAUGGGAAUACAGUGAUUCUGUCUACAUUAUAUUAAUACCUAUUUUUUUAACUUUAACAAUUUAGCCUGAUGAAGGGUUUGCCAAUUCUCAAAUAAGCACUGUGGGGCUAAAUGAAAUAAUUUUUAGAUUUAUAAUGCUAGCAUUAACAUAUAAAGUCUUUCCAGUUGCAGCAUGAAGGUUUGUACUUGGCAUAUGAUUCAUGGGUUUGGAAGCCUAUGUUUCCUUCUUCAAUUUUUUGAGCCAAAUUAAAAUGGCUCAUUUUUCUAUUUCUCAUACAUUUUUGGAAGAAAAUAAUAUCGUAAGUGACCUUGAAAUGCCUUUUCUUCCCUCUAGCUACUUGCUUUCAUUAUUUGUAAAUGUACUGUAAAUACACUUGACAGCAGGCUCUUCUGGGAAGCUCUGUAUAACGGCUGGUAAAAUACAGGGCUCACUGGAAGCAGUAGCUUUGCCACAGAUAGCAAAAGUCCCAAAUUUAACUUUGUGCUUUGCUUUUAGAUUCUUAUUUUAGGCAAAUAAAUUAACUAUGAUCUACUGAAAGAGUGUUGCAAGAUUUAAUUUACAACUUUUACUGUCUCCUGCAAGCCUGAAGAAUUCAGCAAAGCAUCUUAAAACUGAUGUUCAUUCCAGGUGACAGAGACUCUGCUGUCUAGUUAAGAAUUACUUCUUGCAAGUGUAAAGGUAUGUUUUCAGACAUUGACAUGUCAAAAUAUUAGGAGGAAGAAACAAAAUCAAAUAAUUGCCAGGACUGCUUUGUUUUCAUGCAGAAGUUGUGGGGACUGGAGGGUGGGACAGAGAGGGGAAGAAACAGUGCAUAAACUCUUUACAAAAAUACAUAUUGCACUGAGGUCCCAGGUAAUACCUGUCUAGAAAAGAGCCAACCUAAAUCAAACCCACCGCUCUGCUCAACUCUGAAAGCGAUAAUGCUAUUCUAUGUGCUAUCCCUUUGUCUGUAAAAUAGUGUGAUGCUCAAUGAAAAAGCCACUGGACCUCUUAAAGGCUGCAGUGUAGCUACGUGGAACAGGAGCAUUCUUCAGCAAGGCCACAGAGAGCUUGAGCUCAGGUGAAGCACCAGCAAGUCCCACCGCAGGCUUUUACACAGCCCAGUAUCUG
Poecile atricapillus (Black-capped chickadee) is the source of this 2885-nucleotide long non-coding RNA. RefSeq lists it as uncharacterized. The transcript has 4 exons. The record is from RefSeq and is a predicted model, not a curated record. Lineage: Eukaryota; Metazoa; Chordata; Aves; Passeriformes; Paridae.